RNAcentral lists this long non-coding RNA (271 nucleotides) under Ananas comosus (pineapple). RNAcentral describes it as "long non-coding RNA (ACOM_LNC033659)". Lineage: Eukaryota; Viridiplantae; Streptophyta; Magnoliopsida; Poales; Bromeliaceae. The record is from RNAcentral.
UAGAUUUUAAUUUAUUAUAUUUUUUUAUUUUAAUUCUUAAAAUUAUUAUAAUCAAAUUCUACAAUCUAAUUUAAUUGCUUAAAUAUUGAUAAAUUAUUAGUGUGGAAGUAAUAUUAAAGUUUUCUUAUUAAUGAUGCGAUAAUAAUUAAAAUGCUAUAUUAUUUUUAUAUUAGUAAUUUGUCAAUAUUUAAUUAACUAAGUUGGAAUAUAGAAUUUGAUUGCAAUAAUUAGAAAAUUAGAGUCAGAAAUUAUAAUAAAAUUAAAAUUUAAG